RNAcentral lists this ribosomal RNA (211 nucleotides) under Escherichia coli. Its description in RNAcentral is "partial 16S ribosomal RNA". It matches the Rfam family "Bacterial small subunit ribosomal RNA", at positions 10 to 217 of the family's 1533-position model. The record is from RNAcentral. Lineage: Bacteria; Pseudomonadati; Pseudomonadota; Gammaproteobacteria; Enterobacterales; Enterobacteriaceae.
AGUUUGAUCAUGGCUCAGAUUGAACGCUGGCGGCAGGCCUAACACAUGCAAGUCGAACUGUAACAUGAAGCAUCUUGCUGCUUUGCUGACGAGUGGCGGACGGGUGAGUAAUGUCUGGGAAACUGCCCGAUGGAGGGGGAUAACUACUGGAAACGGUAGCUAAUACCGCAUAACGUCGCAAGACCAAAGAGGGGGACCUUCGGGCCUCUUG